Non-coding RNA from Callorhinus ursinus (northern fur seal), 128 nucleotides. NCBI's taxonomy places the organism in Eukaryota, Metazoa, Chordata, Mammalia, Carnivora, Otariidae. The record is from RefSeq and is a predicted model, not a curated record.
AUGCCAUGCUCCAAAAGGCCGACGGGGAGACCUGCUUCUGGGUCAGGGUUUCGUACGUAGCGGAGCAGCUCCCUCGCUGCGAUCUAUUGAAAGUCAGCCCUCGACACAAGGGUUUGUGAUGGGGUGUG